Eupeodes corollae is the source of this 558-nucleotide long non-coding RNA. RefSeq lists it as uncharacterized. NCBI's taxonomy places the organism in Eukaryota, Metazoa, Arthropoda, Insecta, Diptera, Syrphidae. The record is from RefSeq and is a predicted model, not a curated record. The transcript has 2 exons.
UAUUUCAUAAUAUAGAUUUAUUCAUAGUGUUUAAUUAUGUUAAUACAAAUCUUCUAUGAUUAACAAAACAUAAGCAAAAUAAAAACAAAAUAUACCAAAAGUGAUUCUUCGAUUUUACCAUGAACUUGAGAAUCAUUGCUAAGAAAAGUUGGAGAUUGGUAUAAAUAUUGAUUGAAUCAAAGCAGCAAUCAUCAGAAACUUAUUAGAUUCUAACCAAUAAUCAUCUUAAACAUGAAGUCCUUCUUGAUUACACUUUUGGUAUGCUUUGCUAUUGUUGUAGCAAUGGCCGCAGCUGCUCCAUCUGAAGAAGGAAUUUUCGGGGAUUUGCCUGACAGUGAUAUUGCCAACCCACAGGAGCCAAGCGAAUCACUGAAAUUGUUGCUGCUCAAGAAACUGAAGCUUAAAUUGUUGAGAGGUUAAGCUCGUUAACAUUUUGUUAUUAUUAAUAUACCUUAAGUACACAAAGUCCUAUUUAUAAGUCAUAAUGGUUACGAUACAAUUGUUUUUAUAAUUUCUAAGCUAUGGUUACAAUACAAUAUUCUUUAAAAAAAAAACUUG